GGGUUGUGAGGUUAAGCGACUAAGCGUACACGGUGGAUGCCCUGGCAGUCAGAGGCGAUGAAGGACGUGCUAAUCUGCGAAAAGCGUCGGUAAGGUGAUAUGAACCGUUAUAACCGGCGAUGUCCGAAUGGGGAAACCCAGUGUGUUUCGACACACUAUCAUUAACUGAAUCCAUAGGUUAAUGAGGCGAACCGGGGGAACUGAAACAUCUAAGUACCCCGAGGAAAAGAAAUCAACCGAGAUUCCCCCAGUAGCGGCGAGCGAACGGGGAGGAGCCCAGAGCCUGAAUCAGUGUGUGUGUUAGUGGAAGCGUCUGGAAAGGCGCGCGAUACAGGGUGACAGCCCCGUACACAAAAAUGCACAUGCUGUGAGCUCGAUGAGUAGGGCGGGACACGUGGUAUCCUGUCUGAAUAUGGGGGGACCAUCCUCCAAGGCUAAAUACUCCUGACUGACCGAUAGUGAACCAGUACCGUGAGGGAAAGGCGAAAAGAACCCCGGCGAGGGGAGUGAAAAAGAACCUGAAACCGUGUACGUACAAGCAGUGGGAGCCCUGAUUUAUCAGGGUGACUGCGUACCUUUUGUAUAAUGGGUCAGCGACUUAUAUUCUGUAGCAAGGUUAACCGAAUAGGGGAGCCGGAGGGAAACCGAGUCUUAACUGGGCGUUAAGUUGCAGGGUAUAGACCCGAAACCCGGUGAUCUAGCCAUGGGCAGGUUGAAGGUUGGGUAACACUAACUGGAGGACCGAACCGACUAAUGUUGAAAAAUUAGCGGAUGACUUGUGGCUGGGGGUGAAAGGCCAAUCAAACCGGGAGAUAGCUGGUUCUCCCCGAAAGCUAUUUAGGUAGCGCCUCGUGAAUUCAUCUCCGGGGGUAGAGCACUGUUUCGGCAAGGGGGUCAUCCCGACUUACCAACCCGAUGCAAACUGCGAAUACCGGAGAAUGUUAUCACGGGAGACACACGGCGGGUGCUAACGUCCGUCGUGAAGAGGGAAACAACCCAGACCGCCAGCUAAGGUCCCAAAGUCAUGGUUAAGUGGGAAACGAUGUGGGAAGGCCCAGACAGCCAGGAUGUUGGCUUAGAAGCAGCCAUCAUUUAAAGAAAGCGUAAUAGCUCACUGGUCGAGUCGGCCUGCGCGGAAGAUGUAACGGGGCUAAACCAUGCACCGAAGCUGCGGCAGCGACACUGUGUGUUGUUGGGUAGGGGAGCGUUCUGUAAGCCUGUGAAGGUGUGCUGUGAGGCAUGCUGGAGGUAUCAGAAGUGCGAAUGCUGACAUAAGUAACGAUAAAGCGGGUGAAAAGCCCGCUCGCCGGAAGACCAAGGGUUCCUGUCCAACGUUAAUCGGGGCAGGGUGAGUCGACCCCUAAGGCGAGGCCGAAAGGCGUAGUCGAUGGGAAACAGGUUAAUAUUCCUGUACUUGGUGUUACUGCGAAGGGGGGACGGAGAAGGCUAUGUUGGCCGGGCGACGGUUGUCCCGGUUUAAGCGUGUAGGCUGGUUUUCCAGGCAAAUCCGGAGAAUCAAGGCUGAGGCGUGAUGACGAGGCACUACGGUGCUGAAGCAACAAAUGCCCUGCUUCCAGGAAAAGCCUCUAAGCAUCAGGUAACAUCAAAUCGUACCCCAAACCGACACAGGUGGUCAGGUAGAGAAUACCAAGGCGCUUGAGAGAACUCGGGUGAAGGAACUAGGCAAAAUGGUGCCGUAACUUCGGGAGAAGGCACGCUGAUAUGUAGGUGAAGCGACUUGCUCGUGGAGCUGAAAUCAGUCGAAGAUACCAGCUGGCUGCAACUGUUUAUUAAAAACACAGCACUGUGCAAACACGAAAGUGGACGUAUACGGUGUGACGCCUGCCCGGUGCCGGAAGGUUAAUUGAUGGGGUCAGCGCAAGCGAAGCUCUUGAUCGAAGCCCCGGUAAACGGCGGCCGUAACUAUAACGGUCCUAAGGUAGCGAAAUUCCUUGUCGGGUAAGUUCCGACCUGCACGAAUGGCGUAAUGAUGGCCAGGCUGUCUCCACCCGAGACUCAGUGAAAUUGAACUCGCUGUGAAGAUGCAGUGUACCCGCGGCAAGACGGAAAGACCCCGUGAACCUUUACUAUAGCUUGACACUGAACACUGGUCCUUGAUGUGUAGGAUAGGUGGGAGGCUUUGAAGUGUGGACGCCAGUCUGCAUGGAGCCGUCCUUGAAAUACCACCCUUUAAUGGCUGGUGUUCUAACGUUGGCCCCUUACCGGGGUUGCGGACAGUGUCUGGUGGGUAGUUUGACUGGGGCGGUCUCCUCCUAAAGAGUAACGGAGGAGCACGAAGGUUGGCUAAUCCUGGUCGGACAUCAGGAGGUUAGUGCAAUGGCAUAAGCCAGCUUGACUGCGAGCGUGACGGCGCGAGCAGGUGCGAAAGCAGGUCAUAGUGAUCCGGUGGUUCUGAAUGGAAGGGCCAUCGCUCAACGGAUAAAAGGUACUCCGGGGAUAACAGGCUGAUACCGCCCAAGAGUUCAUAUCGACGGCGGUGUUUGGCACCUCGAUGUCGGCUCAUCACAUCCUGGGGCUGAAGUAGGUCCCAAGGGUAUGGCUGUUCGCCAUUUAAAGUGGUACGCGAGCUGGGUUUAGAACGUCGUGAGACAGUUCGGUCCCUAUCUGCCGUGGGCGCUGGAGAACUGAGGGGGGCUGCUCCUAGUACGAGAGGACCGGAGUGGACGCAUCACUGGUGUUCGGGUUGUCAUGCCAAUGGCACUGCCCGGUAGCUAAAUGCGGAAGAGAUAAGUGCUGAAAGCAUCUAAGCACGAAACUUGCCCCGAGAUGAGUUCUCCCUGAGACUUAGAGUCUCCUGAAGGAACGUUGAAGACGACGACGUUGAUAGGCCGGGUGUGUAAGCGCAGCGAUGCGUUGAGCUAACCGGUACUAAUGAACCGUGAGGCUUAACCUUACAACGCCGAAG
RNAcentral lists this ribosomal RNA (2926 nucleotides) under Escherichia coli. Its description in RNAcentral is "23S ribosomal RNA". It matches the Rfam family "Bacterial large subunit ribosomal RNA". Lineage: Bacteria; Pseudomonadati; Pseudomonadota; Gammaproteobacteria; Enterobacterales; Enterobacteriaceae. The record is from RNAcentral.